Molecule: ribosomal RNA, 450 nt
Filed under: uncultured bacterium
Lineage: Bacteria
Description: bacterial SSU rRNA
Rfam family: Bacterial small subunit ribosomal RNA
Source: RNAcentral
CCCAGACUCCUACGGGAGGCAGCAGUGGGGAAUAUUGCGCAAUGGGCGCAAGCCUGAUGCAGCGACGCCGCGUGAGCGAAGAAGUAUUUCGGUAUGUAAAGCUCUAUCAGCAGGGAAGAAAGAAAUGACGGUACCUGACUAAGAAGCCCCGGCUAACUACGUGCCAGCAGCCGCGGUAAUACGUAGGGGGCAAGCGUUAUCCGGAUUUACUGGGUGUAAAGGGAGCGUAGACGGUUACGCAAGUCUGGAGUGAAAGGCGGGGGCCCAACCCCCGGACUGCUUUGGAAACUGUAUAACUGGAGUGCAGGAGAGGUAAGUGGAAUUCCUAGUGUAGCGGUGAAAUGCGUAGAUAUUAGGAGGAACACCAGUGGCGAAGGCGGCUUACUGGACUGUAACUGACGUUGAGGCUCGAAAGCGUGGGGAGCAAACAGGAUUAGAUACCCCGGUACG